Long non-coding RNA from Dreissena polymorpha, 3408 nucleotides. RefSeq lists it as uncharacterized. Lineage: Eukaryota; Metazoa; Mollusca; Bivalvia; Myida; Dreissenidae. The transcript has 2 exons. The record is from RefSeq and is a predicted model, not a curated record.
AAUUAUGUGAAAUAAUUAUUAAAUUUCAUUUUAGUUUGAUAAAUUGAAAAGAAAGACAUUAUUGUUUGGGAGUUUGAAAAUAUACAUUUUUUAUGUGUUUGCACUUUGAAGAUUAAAAGUACAGAUUUACUUGAAAUGUUUAUGGAACACAGCCCUGUGUGGUUUGUGAGUGUGAAAUGGAAAAGCAGCUAAAUUUUCUAGUUUGUGUAUAUUCUUGUGGGGUUAUUUUUUAUUUUUAGAUUUCAAAAUGUACAAUCUGGUAAAAUAGGAGUAUUUUAUGUACAGUUAUGUAUUGGUGAAUUCAAACUUUAAAAUAGGAGUGUUUUAUGUACAGUUAUGUAUUGGUGAAUUCAAACUUUAAAAUAGGAGUGUUUUAUGUACAGUUAUGUAUUGGUGAAUUCAAACUUUAAAAUAGGAGUGUUUUAUGUACAUUUAUGUAUUGGUGAAUUCAAACUUUCAAAGCUACCUCUAGAGCUUAAAGUAUAAAUUUAAGUUCUGUUGCAAAAUGUAGAAUUUUUUAGCUUUAAAUUUUUACAUUUACUUUGUUCAUCAUACUGUUACUCAUAAAAGCAUUGAGUGCUCUCAUCGUCAUGGAUACUAAAUAGACUGGUCUCCCUUUAUGGAAGCACAUGUAUUUUGCAGAAUAAUCUAAUGUUAAAUUAUAUUAAAUUAUAUUGUGAAUGCUGUCACAUUUAUAGACACAAAACAUAAAAUUUACAAUUCAAGAUGUUGCAAGGUUGUCAACUACACUGUACCAUUGCAAAUUAAUAUUAAAACAAAUUAUUAAAAAUUAAAAGAUUUGUAAGUUUUCUUUCAAACCUUCUUAAUGUUGCACCGGACGCCACCUUCGUUGCGUAAUUUUCAAACUUUUUCUGAACUCUGCUCAGUUGAAAUCUUUUACAAAGGAGUUAAAAAAAUAAGAAGUCUCCGUUAUGGCUCAAACAACAUGAAAGCAGAUCAGGUCAGCUAAGCUAUCGGUGUCUCAUGUGAGCAUCGAUGGACCUGUGGCCCUUUUGUUUUGUCUCUUUUAUGUUCAGAUUUAGUCAGUGUACACGUGCUAUGGUUUAGCUCAGUGUUGUAUUCUAAAUUUAAGAACUGUAUUUGACAGAUUCUCGUGUAUGCAAUAAUUUAUUUUGAUGUAAGUUCUGUAUGGUAUUUAAAGUCAAUGUAAAACUCUGUUACUUAAUGUGCUUUUUUCUUGUUUUUUGUUUAUUAUUUUUUUACAUUUAUUGGAUCUGUUAAGUUAUAUGCAAACUGAGUGCUACGUCAUUUGCAUAAUAUUGUAUUUUGUUCAUUUGACCUAAAUGUUUAUGUUUGUGUCAUUAUAUUAUAUUACAAACUCAUGUCUCAAUCAGAAAACAAUUAUAGCAUGUAUGAAUUUGCACAUUUGCAUCACUGUUUAGAAAAUGUACAUGGCACUUUAUGUAAAUUGGUAAAAUCAAAACAGAAACAUAUGAUAUUUUUCUCAAACAAGUAGUUUAAGGUAUGCAAUUUAGAUAUUAGGUUCAGUUAUAAUUAGAAUUAUAUGAUUUGAAUUCUUGUGCUAACUGCAGAUCACUUUAUUGUUCAUAGGUCUUAUUAUAUAUCAGAUCCAUAUCAUGUUUAACUUUGCUUCAAAGGUUAUUCGGGUUUUUAACCAGGUUUUUAACCAGGUUUUCCGAAGGAAAAAACUGGUUAUUAGAUUGGCGAAUGAGGGCGGGCUGGCUGGCUGGCGGGCUGGCUGGCGGGCUGGCGGAACAAGCUUGUCCGGGCCAUAACUAUGUCGUUCAUUGUCAGAUUUUAAAAUCAUUUGGCAAAUUUGUUCACCAUCAUUGGACGGUGUGUCGCGCAAAAUAAUUACGUCGAUAUCUCGAAGGUCAAGGUCACACUUUGAGUUCAAAGGUAAAAAAUGGCCAUAAAUGAGCUUGUCCUGGCCAUAACUAUGUCAUUCAUUGUGAGAUUUUAAAAUCAUUUGGCACAUUUGUUCACCAUCAUGGGACGGUGUGUUGCACGAAAGAAUCACGUCAAUAUCUCCAAUGUCAAGGUCGCCACGACUAAAAAUAUAUUUUUUUAAAAAACAAACUUACAAAGGGGGUUAAUUUUUUUUUUCAUUUCAAAAAUUCAGUUUGAGUUUUCUCCCUUUAUCAGAUUUUUUUUCACAAUGAAAACCUGGUUUUGUGACAAUUUUGUCCCUUGUGUAAAUUAAUCUAGAAAAUGUAACCCAAGGAAUUGUGUACAAAGUUGCAUGUAAAACAUCUUUUUUGUUCAUUUAUUGUAUUUUUAUGCCCCCCUUCGAAGAAGAGGAGGUAUAUUGUUUUGCACAUGUCGGUCCGUCCGUCGGUAGGUCGGUCGGUCCGUCCACCAGAUGGUUUACGGAUGAUAACUCAAGAACGCUUAGGCCUAGGAUCAUGAAAAUUCAUAGGUACAUUGAUCAUGACUGGCAGAUGACCCCUAUUGAUUUUCAGGUCACUAGGUCAAAGGUCAAGGUCACAGUGACUCGAAAUAGUAAAAUGGUUUCCGGAUGAUAACCCAAGAAUGCUUACGCCCAAGACCAUGAAACUUCAUAGGUACAUUGAUCAUGACUAGCAAAUAACCCCUAUUGAUUUUCCGGUCACUAGGUCAAAGGUCAAGGUCACAGUGACUCUAAGCAGUAAAAUGGUUUCCGGAUGAUAACUCAAGAAUGCUUACGCCUUGGAUCAUGAAACUUCAUAGGAACAUUGAUCAUGACUGGCAGAUGAACCUUGUUGAUUUUCAGGUCACUAGGUCAAAGGUCAAGGUCACAGUGACUCGAAAUAGUAAAAUGGUUUCCAGAUGAUAACCCAAAAAUGCUUAAGCCUAGGAUCAUGAAACUUCAUAGGUACAUUGAUCAUGACUGGCAGAUGACCCCUAUUCAUUUUCAGGUCACUUGGUCAAAGGUCAAGGUCACAGUGACAAAAAACGUAUUCACACAAUGGCUGCCACUACAACUGACAGCCCAUAUGGGGGGCAUGCAUGUUUUACAAACAGCCCUUGUUGGAAAUCGACAUAGGACAAGAAUAACAAUGCACUGUAACUCCAAUAUAUCGCGGUCCGGUAUAUCGCGCUUUCCAAUAUAUAGUGAAUCAGCCGUGGACCCCAUUUUUUUCACCCACUAUAAUGUUCUUUGUAAUGAGACAUUCAUAAAUUUAGAUUGUUUGCCUUCUUUGUGUAUCACAUUCAUGCUUGUGUAAUGCAACAAACAAAACCCAACUUGCUCAACAUCAAAGAUAACAUAUGUGCGUCACCUUUCACAACGGUAUUGAAUUUGCUUUGAAGUGACAUUAUGCCAGCUGUCAACCACUUUCCUAUUGGUAAUUAAUUUGUAUCAUUUGAAAUUGCCAAACUAUGCUAAUCCAUACAUAUACAUGCAUGAAUGACCUGACAAGUUAUAUCGUGCGCCUGAUAUAUCAU